Molecule: ribosomal RNA, 253 nt
Filed under: uncultured bacterium
Lineage: Bacteria
Description: partial 16S ribosomal RNA
Rfam family: Bacterial small subunit ribosomal RNA
Source: RNAcentral
GACGUAGGGCGCGAGCGUUGUCCGGAUUUAUUGGGCGUAAAGGGCGCGUAGGCGGUCGUGCGCGUCGGAGGUGAAAUCCCCGGGCUUAACCCGGGAGCUGCCUCCGAUACGGCAUGGCUUGAGUCCGGGAGAGGGGAGCAGAAUUCCCAGUGUAGCGGUGAAAUGCGUAGAUAUUGGGAGGAAUACCGGUGGCGAAGGCGGCUCCCUGGACCGGUACUGACGCUGAGGCGCGAAAGCGUGGGUAGCAAACAGG